Molecule: long non-coding RNA, 362 nt
Organism: Gasterosteus aculeatus aculeatus (three-spined stickleback)
Lineage: Eukaryota; Metazoa; Chordata; Actinopteri; Perciformes; Gasterosteidae
Source: Ensembl
GUUUAGAGCGAGUCCCUCCAUCAGUGGCUGGAUCCGAGCCCAGCCUCUCCGCUCAUUGGACUGCGCAGCCGCGCCGCAUAGUCAGCCCAUGUGGCGUGGCCAGCGCGAUGUGACACAUUAUAAUUCACCGGAGACGAGAGGAGGAGGCUGUGAAGGAAACGCUCCCCUCACACUCACUGCAAACCACGGGGACGGACACACACACGUCCGCAGCUACACAACAGAGCACCGCCGAUCCCUGCAGCUACAGGCCUCCGUCCUACUGAAUGCUGUGGCUCCAGAUCCCUGUGACGGAGUCUCAGGAGUGUGCUAGAUGACGGGAGGGUGUCUACUAUGAGACUCUGAGGCUCUGUCCCCAGCUG